UUCUGCAUGAUUAUUCUGAGUUCUGAAAAGGUCAAGAGGUAAUGGUAAGAUAAACAAGAAACGGCUUGCUGCUGCAGGAAUGCAGGAGUCAGCAGAAACAGGAUGGGAAAAACAGUGAUAACAGAAACGGUAUGCAAAUGUGGGUUUCAAAACCACAAAUCGGUGGGUUACCUAGGGCGCGUGGACAGCGCGUGCUGACCAAUCGUGAUGGCGUGCUGUGCUCGUGUUCGCGUGGACAGGACUCAGAAUAAUAUAAAUUGUACAGCCUAACAAUAAUAAAACUGGAUUUGAACUUGCAUCUUGUGGAUGUGUGUGUGGUUCUCUCCCGCUCGCUUGCCUGCCUGCAGCAUCUGGUGAACCCCGACAUACAUGCUUGGGGACUAUCGAACAUCGGACUGCAGAACCUGCGAGGAUCCUGCUGCCAGCGAGUUAUAGCUGGGCACCAGAAGAAAGGCGGAUCGUGCACGGACUGACCGACCCUCGGUAAAAUUGUCUGACUGCUCUCAUCUGUUUCUGCACGGUAACUACGUAGAACUGACAGAACUUUUAAGAGCAACGGUUUGUUAAGCUUUUGAUAACAGUGAAAACAACUGGAAGAGGCAGAUGGACAGAAACUGAGACCUGACUACAUCCCAGACUGCGGAGAUAGCAACAUCCAGAGAGCACAGAGACAACAUCGGCGGAGGAGAGCCCGCACAGAGCAGGACGCCUAGGCAGAAUGAUGCUGGGAGCAGAGUAAAGGCGGGGCCGCUGUUGAUGCGGCUGCGCCGGGCUGCGGAGCCGGGACGCUGCGGGCUCCAAGCCAGAGCGGGGCAUGCUGCUGCCUGCGCUGAGGGGAGUCCCGGAGGACCCAGACCUGCAGGGCUUAGCACUUGUGGUGUUAAGACAAAGCUGCUGAAACUGCAGCUGAUUCAAAAAAAAAAAAAAAAAAAAAAAAAAAACCAACCAAAAAAAAAAAAAAAGGAAAAAGGGAGUUUUGAAGAGAACUUUCAUGUGCAUGGUGGUGUUUUUCACUGAGUUUGUCACAGUUGACAGAGAAGUGGAACUUACUGGGGAAUAGUUAAAGGUUUAAGAGGUCUAUAAUUGAUUCUGGUUACUUGGUUAAAGUGAUUUUAUAAUUGCAGAUUAUACCUUCUUUUCUUUUCCCCUUUCUGGCAUUAGGUUAAGAUACAUUUCAGGUGGGAAUUUAAAAUGUACACACAUGAUUCUUUGUCUUUUUUUUUCAGUUCACCUGACGUUAUUUCUGUUAUACUGCAUAGCUUUUGGUAUUCUAAAGCAAGGCUAACUCACUCAGAGAUCAAAUUAUUGUCAAAAAGCAUUUUACACACUAAGCAUAUUUUCAAAACAAAAGAGGGGAGGAGAAUAUGCAUGUACAUAAACAGAUCCUGGAUCAGAAAUGGAUCUCAUUUAGGUUUGUUAGGCCUUUUUGUUUCCUUGUAUUGAUUCCUCUUCAGGACAGGUGGAAUUGCUGAACAUGACCACCAGAGAUGGCAGACUGAAAAGCACUGAGAAGCCAACAAUACUUAGGAAUCUGAGAUCUGUGGUUGAAAUGAAAAAUAUAAUAAAAAUCCCAGCUAUGUGUGAAUGAAGGAUGAUUGAGGUGGCCACCUUCUGAAUGACUGGGAAAAAAGCUGCAUGAGUGAAAAAAGCUGCGCAGAUAUGUGUGUGUGAACUUAAAUACUUAAUGAAUAUUAAGAUUUUAAGAGAAUGUGUUAUAUAGAUUUAAUUAUGGUAAGUUGAUGCUGCUAGCCUUCGGAGAUUGGAAGCAGAUAUUGAAGAUAUUGCAAGUUAAUGCUGGUUAAAAUUGACUAAAUGGUCUGUUGGUAAAUAUCAGGAUGGUUUUUACCUAUAAUCAAGACAAGUUUGCUUGUGUUGUUUUAACCUCUCUGAUCAUAGUAGGCCAAUCCAGGAACAAAGGUGGAUAGCGGAACAGAGGUGGAGUACAUAACAUGAAUAUGACCGAAUCAUGGCUCAAAAUGACACCAAGAUCCUUGAUUGGUUCUGUGAUGAAAACUUGUGUAUCCCUAGGGGGUGGAUGGUCCCUCCCCAAAACAUGGAUCGGGUUUGUUUUGCGUUUCAUAAAUUACGGAUUAGCAAACGCAAGGAAAAACGGCAACGUAAACAACAAAACUAAGGCUAUCUGGUAUUACCACCUAAUUCUAUCCAGCAUCAUCCCUGUCGCAGCCAUCCACAACAUUGACCCAAGACAAAAUAUGUGGGUUACUUGGGCCAAUGUGUCUGGGGUUACAGAAUUUUGUCUAUCCCUCCAAAAAGCCAGUGAUCCUUUUCGAACUUGUCUAAUUGGUUAUCCAUACAUACAUUGGACAGACUUUAGCCAUUUGGGAGUGAACUACACUGCUAUUAAUAACUCUUAUUGGCAGUGGAGAGACGACAACUCACGGGGCAAAUGUACAAAAUCGUGUAAUUGGCCUAUUGUAAAAGAAGCACGUUUUUUACAACAGUUGAUAUAUCAACUGAACGAGUCAGCACCUUUACCCUUACAAGAAUUGGAUUUGUGGGGAUCAUUUCCUCCUGUCAUAAGUGUGAGCGAUGUUUCUAACCAAACAAAUUGUACCAAUAUAUACCCAAAGAUUUUACCAAUCAAUGGAUCCGGAGUCGUCCAUUUUGGAGACUCAUGGAAACGUCUCAUGCAUGCCGACGGCGUAAUGCAAUAAUAUUUGGGCUACCAAAAUGUGACUGGGCAAUCUAAUCAUUGGAAUACCUCCAAACAUGCCGGGGAGUUAAAUGUAGAAAAUGUGUCUACUAAAAUACUACCUGAGGGUUAUUUUCUAAUAUGUGGUGAUAGAGCUUGACCUGGUAUUCCUUUUCGUCCCGUAGGAGGACCAUGUUACAUUGGAAAGUUAACCAUGUUUGCACCUGCCAUGCGUGACCUGGUAAGACAAACAAAUCACAUUCGGACCAAGAGAGAUCUCAAAGACUUAACACCUGAUUGUGAUGACAAUGUGAAACUUGGAACAGCAGGUGAAGCCGUUGCUUUGUCACUUUUCCUCCCAGGGGGCAUGGCAGCAGCAAACUGGAAGAAAAUUAAAACUUUGGCAUGCUAGGCUGUAAAACAAUUUAACUCUACUUCUGAAAUCUUAACAGGUUUAGCUAGCGAUGUAAAUAGCUUGAGACAUGCAGUUUUGCAAAAUAGAGCAGUGAUUGACUUUUAGCACAUGGGCAUGGGUGUCAGGAUUUUGAGGGAAUGUGUUGUAUGAAUUUAUCUGAUCAUUCACAAAGCAUACACAAACAGUUACAAGAACUUAAGGAACGCAUGCAUCAUGUAAAAGAAGGAUCUGCGGGAUUGGAUGCCUGACUGGCAUCAUGGGGAAUAGGAGGUUGGCUAAAAGAUGUACUGAAACAAUGGUUGUCUAUACUCAUUUUUAUUCUGGUUUUAUUGCUUGUUGUUCCAUGUAUUUUUAGGUGUCUUCAAGAUUGUAUCAUUCACAGCUUUGAUUCUAUGUUUAAGCGAAAGGGGGGAAGUGUUGGGGCCUUAGCAAUUCUGCAUGAUUAUUCUGAGUUCUGAAAAGGUCAAGAGGUAAUGGUAAGAUAAACAAGAAACAGCUUACUGCUGCAGGAAUGCAGGAGUCAGCAGAAGCAGGAUGGGAAAAACAGUGAUAACAGAAACGGUAUGCAAAUGUGGGCUUCAAAACCACAAAUCGGUGGGUUACCUAGGGCGCGUGGACAGCGCGUGCUGACCAAUCGUGAUGGCGUGCUGUGCUCGUGUUCGCGUGGACAGGACUCAGAAUAAUAUAAAUUGUACAGCCUAACAAUAAUAAAACUGGAUUUGAACUUGCA
Myiozetetes cayanensis is the source of this 3798-nucleotide long non-coding RNA. RefSeq lists it as uncharacterized. Lineage: Eukaryota; Metazoa; Chordata; Aves; Passeriformes; Tyrannidae. The record is from RefSeq and is a predicted model, not a curated record. The transcript has 2 exons.